AACGCAAAUUGCACUCUCUGGUAUUCCGGGGAGUAUGCCUGUUUGAGGGUCGCCAAAUCAACAUCGAAAUUCAUUUGCUUUUUUGCAAUUGUUUAUCGGAUUUGAGCCGUCUUUUAUUUUUUUUAAUUAAAGUGGCUUAAAAUGUAUUUUUUAGGUAUCGAAAACGUUAUUUUACGAUCCAAUUGAUCAAAAAAACGAACGUUUCGAAUGCCGUCUUUUAAUGUAAUACGUUUGACUGUGUUGCAAUCAUGGUUUCAUUCGUAUACGAUUUUUAAUUUUUGACCUCAAAUCAGGUAAGAACACCCGCUGAACUUAA
RNAcentral lists this unclassified non-coding RNA (316 nucleotides) under uncultured Glomeraceae. Its description in RNAcentral is "sequence contains ITS2". The stretch from base 1 to 52 matches the Rfam family "5.8S ribosomal RNA", at positions 103 to 154 of the family's 154-position model. The record is from RNAcentral. Lineage: Eukaryota; Fungi; Glomeromycota; Glomeromycetes; Glomerales; Glomeraceae.